CCUACGGGUGGCAGCAGUGAGGAAUAUUGGUCAAUGGGCGGGAGCCUGAACCAGCCAAGUCGCGUGAGGGAAGACGGUCCUACGGAUUGUAAACCUCUUUUGCCGGGGAGCAACGGGGUCCUUGCGAGGGCCCAAUGAGAGUACCCGGAGAAAAAGCAUCGGCUAACUCCGUGCCAGCAGCCGCGGUAAUACGGAGGAUGCGAGCGUUAUCCGGAUUUAUUGGGUUUAAAGGGUGCGUAGGCGGUCCGUUAAGUCAGCGGUAAAAUUGCGGGGCUCAACCCCGUCGAGCCGUUGAAACUGGCAGACUUGAGUUGGCGAGAAGUACGCGGAAUGCGCGGUGUAGCGGUGAAAUGCAUAGAUAUCGCGCAGAACUCCGAUUGCGAAGGCAGCGUACCGGCGCCAGACUGACGCUGAGGCACGAAAGCGUGGGGAUCGAACAGGAUUAGAUACCCGGGUAGUC
RNAcentral lists this ribosomal RNA (460 nucleotides) under uncultured bacterium. RNAcentral's name for it is "partial 16S ribosomal RNA". It matches the Rfam family "Bacterial small subunit ribosomal RNA", at positions 338 to 795 of the family's 1533-position model. The record is from RNAcentral.